CCUACGGGUGACAGCAGUGAGGAAUAUUGGUCAAUGGACGAGAGUCUGAACCAGCCAAGUAGCGUGAAGGAUGACUGCCCUAUGGGUUGUAAACUUCUUUUAUAUGGGAAUAAAACGUUCCACGUGUGGGAUUUUGUAUGUACCAUAUGAAUAAGGAUCGGCUAACUCCGUGCCAGCAGCCGCGGUAAUACGGAGGAUCCGAGUGUUAUCCGGAUUUAUUGGGUUUAAAGGGAGCGUAGGUGGAUUGUUAAGUCAGUUGUGAAAGUUUGCGGCUCAACCGUAAAAUUGCAGUUGAAACUGGCAGUCUUGAGUACAGUAGAGGUGGGCGGAAUUCGUGGUGUAGCGGUGAAAUGCUUAGAUAUCACGAAGAACUACGAUUGCGAAGGCAGUUCACUGGACUGCAACUGACAUUGAGGCUCGAAAGUGUGGGUAUCAAACAGGAUUAGAUACCCUAGUAGUC
RNAcentral lists this ribosomal RNA (460 nucleotides) under uncultured bacterium. Its description in RNAcentral is "partial 16S ribosomal RNA". It matches the Rfam family "Bacterial small subunit ribosomal RNA", at positions 338 to 795 of the family's 1533-position model. The record is from RNAcentral.